Molecule: long non-coding RNA, 1291 nt
Organism: Girardinichthys multiradiatus
Lineage: Eukaryota; Metazoa; Chordata; Actinopteri; Cyprinodontiformes; Goodeidae
Exons: 2
Source: RefSeq, a predicted model, not a curated record
AGGACCACUCUGGAGAAUUGGGUCACACUACGGACUCGAACCCAUCAACGGGAACAAUUCAGGGACACAAGGGUGGAAAUGCGAGUAUUGGGACAGGACCGAUAAAUCCAUUCCUUUCUGACGCCACAAAGCUGCGAGUUCCUGUUAGACGCUAUUUAACACAUCAACAGUCUUGUUAUUUUGGUUAUGACGAGUGUACGAUAAUUUCCCUCAAAAUACGAUCAUUUGAUGUCUCUAGUACGAUAAUCCUACCUUUCUCACCUGGUAACACUGGAGACAGAGAGACUUGAGGAAGCAUCCGGCGAAGUUUCAUGCAGUGAAGGCGUAAAGAAGACGUACUCUGUCAGGUAUUUGUUGACCCCUUCGGGUUGGUGCGGCCAAUGAGGUGUUGAUAUUUUUUUCUCACGGCAUCGUUGAUGACAAAGUGUGUGAUUAAAUGCCUGUAAAUACCAAGAACGCCUUGUGUCCGUUUGUCCUCUUGGAGGGAGUCACAAUGGGAGAAACACCACAGAGUCAAGUUGAGGAUUAAUGCUGCGCCAAAAGUGACUCUGCAAACAGUUCUGUUUUGGGUGUUGAAGCUGCAGACAGUUUGCCCCCCUAAUGCUGAAUUCAAGCCAUGGUACUUGUGAAGCAUGGUGGCAUCAUCACCAGGUAUCAUGGUAUGGGGAUGUCUCUUUUAGUAUGGUAUCGGGUUUGAAUUUAUAAAAAUAAUCAAAGAGAUCAUGUUGCCCUAAUGCAAAAGAUGAAUUGCCCCAAAAAAAUGGAUGUUUUAACAUGAAAGUGACAAACACACAAGUAAAAUGGCAGCAUAUUGGUUACAGAUUAACAUAACGGGGAGGUUAGCCCAGUCCCUGGAAAUGUAUUCAAUAUAAAACUUGUGGAGUGACAUUCAACAACCUGUAUCUGAGGAAAACACUGGAAAUGUAGAGGAAUUGUGGAGUAUAAUCCAAGUCUCUGUAGUCCAGGUCCUGGGCUGAGAAGAGCCAGAGGUUGAUAGACUCUACAUUCAAAUGUGAAGCAUUUCUCAGAAACAAGUGGUUCGUUAUACAACUAAAGAUCAGUUCAGGAUUGACAGGAAAGUUUAAUCUUAAAAUAUUUUCCAGUCAAUAUUUGAGCUUGUUAAGAAAAGUGCUACUUUUAUAUUUCCUUUUCUUCUCCUUCUGCUGAAUGAGAACAGAUGUGAUAGAAAUUUACUUCAUGUUUUUAUUUGGAACAGGAUGUGUUGUGUUCCUGAUGCAUUUCCAUGUAUGGAAAUAAAAGCUACACACGUUGCUCAGUUUUGUAAAGUUAA